RNAcentral lists this long non-coding RNA (622 nucleotides) under Cyanistes caeruleus (blue tit). Its description in RNAcentral is "lncRNA (ENSCCEG00000002946.1)". The record is from RNAcentral. Lineage: Eukaryota; Metazoa; Chordata; Aves; Passeriformes; Paridae.
UGGAAAGGAGCAAGAGAGGAUCUAGGGGAUCAAGAAGUAGCAGUUGCUCAGACACCUGAACAUGAGACUCCUGGCUAAACACUGGACAGUGUUAUUGCAGAUAACUGACCAAGGAAGCAGAAGAGAGGCUGAAGACCUUUUUUUUUUUUUUCCUUUUGCAAAGGCAUAUAGCCACAUGAAAUCUCGUCAGAAAAUUGCAGAGAAAUAUUGUAGAUUAAACAAGCACUAAUGGGGAAGAAAACCUUUUCUCAGACGAACUUCAUCUGAUAAUUCCAACGGCCAAGAUCUCCGGGCAGUUUGUGUGGUGUUCAGCAAGAUGUCAUAUUUAUCGGAGCUAUAGAAGACAUUUAUUGCUUCAUACACUGGGAUCUCUCUUGGGAUUCCUAUUGAAAUACAUGCCAUUAAAUCACCUUCAGCAAGUUGCUGCACUGAUGUCCAUGGGGCAUCUGCCAAAAAGCAGAGGCUUAGGCUGAGUGUAAUACCAAAUGAUUUGGUUUGACUCUGACUGUGUUCAGAAAAGUUCCAAGGGGAAAAAAAAACAAAAGCAAAAGUAAAAAAAAUCUAAAGUUUAAAUUUCUUAGUCAAACUUCCAUUAACAAUUAAAUGUGUUUUAGAUAUGCAG